AAUAUUUCUUUGUAGUUUUCUGACAAAGAAAAAAUCAUAUUUUUAAAUGCAGCAUGGCUUAACAUAUUUCUUUUUGUCUUCAAGUUAUCAAGAAAUGUUUAGACGUUAGUAUGAAAUAAUGAUGACAGUAACAUUAUAUACUUUCCUUAUUCUCUUCUUGGAAUCAGCAAUUUUCCUUUAUUGCACGCGGAGGAUCGAGAUCGGAAUAAAUAUAUAUUUACACUGCAGAGAUCACGGGUCAAAAAUUCAAGGACGUUUCUCGUGAUCUGAAACAACUCCUGCUGCAAAUCGUCCAGUACCAUCUUCGCGCGUUUAUGCUCCCAUUCCUGUUGCAAUACGACCUUUCGCAAGUGCAUGGAUUUGUGCAUCGCCGCCAGUUUGCGUUUUCCAGCUUCGAGGAUACAAUCGUUGACACGCAAGAGUUCUUUGCGCGGGACAAGAACGGCGUUCUUGUAGUCGGAUGGACAACCUUGCAGAGGCACCUCGAUCUGGCCCAUUUUCAGGACAAGCUGAAUCUCCAUUUUCUCAGCACGUUGCAUCAAGGACUUCUCUAUGUUCUCCAGAUAGGCCUUCUUGCAGACAACGACGUUGUCAGCUAAUUGCACCGCUUUUUGAUAAAACGACAACGUUUCUUCCGCCUCGGCUAUCUCUACCGCGCAGCAUCUCACCUUUAAUACCGACAUUCACAUUUUUGGUUUCUGGGCAUCGUAUCCAACGCAUCCAUGCCUCUGAGGAAGUCCAGGCAUUCGCGCGGUAAGAUCUCCGACAACUCGCUGGCCGCGACGCAUCUCGCUACUUCCGUCAGAUACGUGACGGACGUGGUGAUGAGGCGACCUGUCCUGGGUCGCUUCUUGUAAUGCCUGAGCAAGUGUUCCACCAGCGGCUGCUUUAAGUCCGCGAAUUCGCUGCGGAACUUGGCCUCCUGACGUUUCUCCGCCUUGAUGAGAUUGUCGUAACGAGACUUCAACUCCGCCACGACUACCUCGAGCGAGUUGCAUUCCUCGACGAGUUUGCGGGCCUCUCGCGUUGCCGGUGCCAGUUCGUCCUCAGUGAAACGGACGAUUUUUUGUCUGCCUUCGACCUCGGACCGGUGUCUCCGGAUCGUGCGUAUCCUCAUCAAUCUCUCCUGCAAGAUCGCGCAUUCAAUUUGUAUCUUUUUCAAUUCAAGAUCCUUUAACUUGUCGUUGAAUUCCGCGACGUCUCUCUGUAAGGCUUCUGAAAUGCGCAUAUAUUAUAUGAUUAUGAUGAAAAAAAAAUCAGUAAAAAAAGGU
Molecule: non-coding RNA, 1271 nt
Organism: Nylanderia fulva
Lineage: Eukaryota; Metazoa; Arthropoda; Insecta; Hymenoptera; Formicidae
Source: RefSeq, a predicted model, not a curated record